AGAGUUUGAUCCUGGCUCAGGAUGAACGCUGGCGGCGUGCUUAAUACAUGCAAGUCGAACGGACGUAGCAAUACGUUAGUGGCGACCGGGUGCGUAACACGUAGUUGACCUACCCCUCAGCGGGGGACAACAUGCCGAAAGGCGGCUAAUACCGCAUGAACUAGGGGUGAUUAGAUAGCCCUUAGAAAACUUUCGGGGCUGAGGGAGGGGACUGCGGCUCAUCAGGUAGUUGGUGGGGUAACGGCUCACCAAGCCAACGACGAGUAGGGGACCUGAGAGGGUGACCCCCCACACUGGAACUGACAGACGGUCCAGACUCCUACGGGAGGCAGC
This 333-nucleotide ribosomal RNA is filed under the name uncultured bacterium. Its description in RNAcentral is "bacterial SSU rRNA". It matches the Rfam family "Bacterial small subunit ribosomal RNA", at positions 8 to 352 of the family's 1533-position model. The record is from RNAcentral.